UACGUAGGGAGCAAGCGUUGUCCGGAAUCAUUGGGCGUAAAGCGCGCGUAGGUGGCCUCGUAAGUCCGCUGUGAAAGUCAAAGGCUCAACCUUUGAAAGCCGGUGGAUACUGUGAGGCUAGAGUACGGAAGAGGCGAGUGGAAUUCCUGGUGUAGCGGUGGAAUGCGCAGAUAUCAGGAGGAACACCAAUAGCGAAGGCAGCUCGCUGGGACGUUACUGACGCUGAGGUGCGAAAGCGUGGGGAGCAAACAGG
Molecule: ribosomal RNA, 253 nt
Filed under: uncultured bacterium
Lineage: Bacteria
Description: partial 16S ribosomal RNA
Rfam family: Bacterial small subunit ribosomal RNA
Source: RNAcentral